Molecule: ribosomal RNA, 436 nt
Filed under: uncultured bacterium
Lineage: Bacteria
Description: bacterial SSU rRNA
Rfam family: Bacterial small subunit ribosomal RNA
Source: RNAcentral
UGAGGAAUAUUGGUCAAUGGGCGUAAGCCUGAACCAGCCAAGUCGCGUGAGGGAUGAAGGUUCUAUGGAUCGUAAACCUCUUUUAUAAGGGAAUAAAGUGUGGGACGUGUCCCGUUUUGUAUGUACCUUAUGAAUAAGGAUCGGCUAACUCCGUGCCAGCAGCCGCGGUAAUACGGAGGAUCCGAGCGUUAUCCGGAUUUACUGGGUGUAAAGGGAGCGUAGACGGCGAUGCAAGCCAGAUGUGAAAGCCCGGGGCUCAACCCCGGGACUGCAUUUGGAACUGCGUGGCUGGAGUGUCGGAGAGGCAGGCGGAAUUCCUAGUGUAGCGGUGAAAUGCGUAGAUAUUAGGAGGAACACCAGUGGCGAAGGCGGCCUGCUGGACGAUGACUGACGUUGAGGCUCGAAAGCGUGGGGGAGCAAACAGGAUUAGAUACCC